UUCCGUGACAGUAGCUUGCUUUCCAUUUGUACCCCAGCGAUCCAAUGUUCUGCAGAAAUGGGACCGAGGCAACCUGCUGCCUGUCCGAAAAGGAGCUCUGCAUGGUAGCGCAGGACUGACGAGUCUGGUGCCUCUUCCAGAGACUCGCAGAAUCCGCCUAUAGAACUGUGGAUUAUUGCAGUUUGAACUGACCCCCUAGGACAACUGGAAGCGCUAGCCAGAAGCGUUUGUCAUGGGAUGCUUUAAUGCUUUGAAAAUUGUCCUUAACUGUGUCCUUCAGCGAACUAGAUAAAGAGACAGUAAGAUUGUUUAUUGAUUAUUUCCAUCAACAUUGCUUGGCAUAGUUGGCAGGAUAUCAGAAAAACCCAUCUGAGGUUACCUGGAGUCUAUACUGGACCAGCGCCUUGGUACCAAGCACAGCCCCUUGAGCCCCCCUGGCUUCACAGAACCCUUCGGGUGCUUUGCUCGCAGGAAUCAUCCUGACCAGGCCCACCUGUGAAUGACUGCAAGCAGGAAGAAAUGAACACAUCCCCUCUGGAGGCUGACCAGAACCAGAAAAUGUUUGACUUUACUCCCUUCCCUUUUAGUAUAAAAGAACCCUGAAUUCUGACUCAGGCAAGAUGGUUCUUUGGAACACGAGUCCACCAUCUUCUCGGUCUGCCAGCUUUCCAAAUAAAGUCACUAAUC
Mesoplodon densirostris (Blainville's beaked whale) is the source of this 687-nucleotide long non-coding RNA. RefSeq lists it as uncharacterized. Lineage: Eukaryota; Metazoa; Chordata; Mammalia; Artiodactyla; Ziphiidae. The transcript is spliced from 3 exons. The record is from RefSeq and is a predicted model, not a curated record.